RNAcentral lists this long non-coding RNA (800 nucleotides) under Oncorhynchus mykiss (rainbow trout). RNAcentral's name for it is "lncRNA (ENSOMYG00000014561.2)". The record is from RNAcentral. Lineage: Eukaryota; Metazoa; Chordata; Actinopteri; Salmoniformes; Salmonidae.
GAGAUUAAGUCAGGAGACACAAGAUGAACCUAUUCACCCAGCAAACUGUGAUACUUUGGCUCUGUGUUGCUGUCACGCUCACGACAGAGCUGGUGAAGCUAAGCACUGAUGGCUCUCUGAUUGUGCCAUGUCACCAGAGUGUUAGCCUCCAAUGCAGAAUCUCCACUUUCCAGGAGGGGCUGUCAAUCAAUCAUCUGGCCUGGGUCGGGCAGGACGGGAAGUGCCUGUGUGAUGUUAACGCGACUGGAGUGAUGGGGACCCACCCAGGGAACACACCUAGUGCCAUGGAGUGUAGUUAUACCCCACAGACACAGCUGACCCUGACUCUGCUGCAGGUACAGCCACUGGAGCAGGGAAAUUACUUGUGCAAGCUGCGCUCCAAUCAAGGAGUAAAGGAGGUCACCACAACGGUGAAGCUGCAAGAGUGCUACAGGGAGGCCCAGCCCAGCGUCAGUGAGGAGGGCCCAACCUGCACCUUCACUGAGGUCUACCCUGACGGAGAGGUGCACUGGUUCCAGGGACACAACAAUGUGACUGGGGACCCUAAAAUCAAAACUAAACAAGUGAAGGAAGGAACAUUUUUUACAAUAACUAGUUCCCUGAAUAGAAAGACCAUCUCUGGGGAAGGGGCCUACAACUGCUCCCUGUGGAUCCCCAGUACCGGAGCCUACCUGACCAGCAGCUUGGUACCAGAGCAUGGUGAAGCCAGGGUUGAGGAGCCCAAUGCCAACGGGGCAGGGGCCAUUGGUCCUGUGUGGAAAACCUUUUUAGUCCUCCUGAGUACUCUCUUCCUCGUGUGA